AUGAAGGAUUUUUACCCGAAGGUCGAUUUGAGUGGUUUCUUCCUCUUGUAUCUCCCUAAGACCAUCAGUGGCAACGAAUGGAGCAGAGUGGCUGAAGAUCUAUCUACUCGUUGUCACCAUCAAUCUCCAUGUGUGAAGCUAGUUUCGUUUGAUUCUAUGGACAGUGGGAGGAAGUUUCUGGCAUGUGCAGAGAAGGUUAGACCCUAUUUCGUUGUUACAAAUCAUUUUUUAGAUGUGAUUCAGACACUAUCACGGUCCCAACCCAUUCAUACCACACCUUCAACCAAAUGCAUCCUAAGACAGUGUCACAGUUUGUAA
RNAcentral lists this ribosomal RNA (318 nucleotides) under Triticum aestivum (bread wheat). Its description in RNAcentral is "partial small subunit ribosomal RNA". The record is from RNAcentral. Lineage: Eukaryota; Viridiplantae; Streptophyta; Magnoliopsida; Poales; Poaceae.